AUGGCUUCAAAAUCUCUUAUCAGAAAUGGAGUUGCAUUGUUGAAUCGAUUAUCACUAUCGAAUUCAAAAUCACUUCUCAAUUCCAAUCACCAUCAACCUUACCUUUUCCCAUCCCUCUCCAAGCUCCAGAAUUUUCCUCAAAACGACGCCGAAUCAGUGAAGAGCCUUAUUUCCAACGAAGGGUUUCUCUACCCAUGUGGCCUCCCUUCUCUUCGCUUCUUCUUACCCAAUGGGGAUACUUCUUCUGAUGAGCCAAUGAUUUUAUUCCCAAAAAGGACAUUUCAACCUAGCAUUAUCCGCAGAAAGAGGAAUCAUGGUUUUUUUGCUCGGAAGGCAACCAAGGGUGGCAGAAAGGUAAUUGCUCGAAGAGUAGCAAAGGGUCGGUUUAGGAUUACAGCUUAG
Molecule: non-coding RNA, 402 nt
Organism: Vicia faba (fava bean)
Lineage: Eukaryota; Viridiplantae; Streptophyta; Magnoliopsida; Fabales; Fabaceae
Source: the annotation of a GenBank genome assembly